This 434-nucleotide long non-coding RNA is filed under the name Aotus nancymaae (Ma's night monkey). RNAcentral's name for it is "lncRNA (ENSANAG00000039308.1)". The record is from RNAcentral. Lineage: Eukaryota; Metazoa; Chordata; Mammalia; Primates; Aotidae.
UGUUGACGUACAAAUUUUUAGGAAGAUCUUUGGCAAAUAGUAGUAAUGUAUCAAGGACUACUAGCUGUUUUUAAAAAGUGAAAUAACAGGGAGAUAGUGAAAUAAAUUCCUCUGAUCUAAUUUCAGGUUAGUGCCCAUGCCAUUGUACAGGGGAGAAACCAAGGACUAGAGGAAGUGCCAUAGAUGGUUGAGCAGAGCCAGAGCCUGAACCUAGCUCAUGGCAGUGACCCGAAAGAGCUUGCAGAGCUUACAACGCAUGACAUUGGAUGUGAGAAUUUGAAUUCCUGAAGGCUAACAACACUUUAGUAAACACAUAUCUUCAAUCAAGAGCCUCCCAAAUGCCACCCAUGUGACAUGGAGGAAACAGUCUCAAAGAACUGCGAAGAGCUGCAUUGUAUAUAGACAGAAGGUAAGAACAGUUCAUAUCACUGCUG